RNAcentral lists this ribosomal RNA (416 nucleotides) under uncultured bacterium. RNAcentral describes it as "bacterial SSU rRNA". It matches the Rfam family "Bacterial small subunit ribosomal RNA", at positions 506 to 920 of the family's 1533-position model. The record is from RNAcentral.
UGCCAGCAGCCGCGGUAAUACGUAGGUGGCGAGCGUUGUCCGGAAUUACUGGGUGUAAAGGGCGAGUAGGCGGAUUUGAAAGUCAGGUGUGAAAUACCCGGGCUCAACCCGGGAACUGCAUUUGAAACUUCGGAUCUUGAGUGAUGGAGAGGGAAGCGGAAUUCCUAGUGUAGCGGUGAAAUGCGUAGAUAUUAGGAGGAACACCAGUGGCGAAGGCGGCUUUCUGGACAUCAACUGACGCUGAGGCGCGAAAGCGUGGGGAGCAAACAGGAUUAGAUACCCUGGUAGUCCACGCUGUAAACGAUGAUUACUAGGUGUAGGGGGUAUCGACUCCCCCUGUGCCGCAGUUAACACAAUAAGUAAUCCACCUGGGGAGUACGGCCGCAAGGUUGAAACUUAAAGGAAUUGGCGGGGGA